RNAcentral lists this transfer RNA (71 nucleotides) under Loxodonta africana (African savanna elephant). It matches the Rfam family "tRNA". Rfam says of the family: Transfer RNA (tRNA) molecules are approximately 80 nucleotides in length. Their secondary structure includes four short double-helical elements and three loops (D, anti-codon, and T loops). Lineage: Eukaryota; Metazoa; Chordata; Mammalia; Proboscidea; Elephantidae. The record is from Rfam by way of RNAcentral.
GCAGCGGUGGUCCAGUGGUAGAAUUCUCGCCUUCCAUGCAGGAGACCCGGGUUCGAUUCCCAGCCAAUGCA